This is a non-coding RNA of Podarcis lilfordi (Lilford's wall lizard), 71 nucleotides long. NCBI's taxonomy places the organism in Eukaryota, Metazoa, Chordata, Lepidosauria, Squamata, Lacertidae. The record is from the annotation of a GenBank genome assembly.
GGGCCAUAGCUCAGUGGAAGAGCACCUACUUUUCACGCAGAAGGUCCCAGGUUCGGUCUCUGGCAUCUCCA